RNAcentral lists this ribosomal RNA (301 nucleotides) under uncultured bacterium. Its description in RNAcentral is "partial 16S ribosomal RNA". It matches the Rfam family "Bacterial small subunit ribosomal RNA", at positions 509 to 808 of the family's 1533-position model. The record is from RNAcentral.
CAGCGCCGCGGUAAUACAGAGGGUGCGAGCGUUAAUCGGAUUUACUGGGCGUAAAGCGUGCGUAGGCGGCUUUUUAAGUCGGAUGUGAAAUCCCUGAGCUUAACUUAGGAAUUGCAUUCGAUACUGGGAAGCUAGAGUAUGGGAGAGGAUGGUAGAAUUCCAGGUGUAGCGGUGAAAUGCGUAGAGAUCUGGAGGAAUACCGAUGGCGAAGGCAGCCAUCUGGCCUAAUACUGACGCUGAGGUACGAAAGCAUGGGGAGCAAACAGGAUUAGAUACCCCCGUAGUCCCUGUCUCUUAUACA